AGGUUGAGACAGCAGAAAAGAGGAAAUUUAUUUGAGAUUAGGAUGGAGAUUAAGAGGUAUGGAAUAGGUAUAUAAGGAAGCAGAGCUGAGUGAAAGAGAGCAUCUGAAGCAAGGAGAAGCAAGAAUAGAGGAAAAAGACGACAUUUACAUACACCAAGCUGAAGAGAAGUGAAGAUCCCAUGAUGAAGGUCCUACCCAUUCUGGCCGUGAUGCUACUCGGGACGUCUGCCAUGGUGCUCAAUGAUCUAAACUCCACCGCCUCACCGCUACCUCUGGACUGAUGGGUCAUGCAUGGACUACUUUUCCUGGCUUCAGAAGCCCAAGCAACCAUCCGGUGAUGGACAGUGCAUGGAAAUAAUCUGGCAGAGGAAGCAAGAGAAGGCAGGGAUAAUGUGAGGGAGAGAGAGGGGGUGAUGGAUGAAAGGGAGGG
Molecule: non-coding RNA, 430 nt
Organism: Oncorhynchus mykiss (rainbow trout)
Lineage: Eukaryota; Metazoa; Chordata; Actinopteri; Salmoniformes; Salmonidae
Source: RefSeq, a predicted model, not a curated record